UACGAAGGGGGCUAGCGUUGCUCGGAAUCACUGGGCGUAAAGCGCACGUAGGCGGAUUGUUAAGUCAGGGGUGAAAUCCUGGAGCUCAACUCCAGAACUGCCUUUGAUACUGGGGAUCUCGAGUCCGGGAGAGGUGAGUGGAACUCCGAGUGUAGAGGUGAAAUUCGUAGAUAUUCGGAAGAACACCAGUGGCGAAGGCGGCUCACUGGCCCGGUACUGACGCUGAGGUGCGAAAGCGUGGGGAGCAAACAGG
RNAcentral lists this ribosomal RNA (253 nucleotides) under uncultured bacterium. RNAcentral describes it as "partial 16S ribosomal RNA". It matches the Rfam family "Bacterial small subunit ribosomal RNA", at positions 524 to 776 of the family's 1533-position model. The record is from RNAcentral.